This 253-nucleotide ribosomal RNA is filed under the name uncultured prokaryote. RNAcentral's name for it is "partial 16S ribosomal RNA". It matches the Rfam family "Bacterial small subunit ribosomal RNA", at positions 524 to 776 of the family's 1533-position model. The record is from RNAcentral.
UACAUAGGUCUCAAGCGUUAUCCGGAUUUACUGGGCGUAAAGCGUGCGUAGGUGUCCUUUUAAGUCUUUGGUGAAAUCUCCGGGCUCAACUCGGAAACUGUCAGAGAUACUGGAAGGAUCGAGUGUGGUAGAGGCAGAUGGAAUUGAUGGUGUAGCGGUAAAAUGCGUAGAUAUCAUCAAGAACACCCAUGGCGAAGGCAGUCUGCUGGGCCAUUACUGACACUGAGGCACGAAAGCGUGGGGAGCGAACGGG